This 65-nucleotide transfer RNA is filed under the name Laevapex fuscus. RNAcentral's name for it is "tRNA-Pro". Lineage: Eukaryota; Metazoa; Mollusca; Gastropoda; Ancylidae. The record is from RNAcentral.
CAAAAACAGUUUUGGAAAACAUUAACUUUGGGAGUUAAUAAAUAGAUUUUUUUUUCUAUUUUUGA